ACUUGAUCUUGUGUGUUUUUCUUGCUGCUUUUGCGUGAACCCAGACAGAAUGGCGUCACCUCUUUUGCAUGGCGAUGGCAGGGAAUUUAAUUACCGUUCGACGAUGAUUUACGAUUUCCCGACAACCCUAUGGCUCGAUGAGUGGCACCCGGCUCGAGUCCAACUCGAAUUAUGACAACAUAUCCCACAAAUUAUCAUUUCAUCGAUUCCCGAUGGAUAUGACCAUUCCGAGGAAAUGGCUUCGAUUCUUCGGACAGGACCUAAACAACAAUACUAAAAACAUGUACAUUUGCUCGCUUCACUUCAGUCCAGAUUGUUCCGUGCAUAUCGAUGACUUGGAAGAACAAUAUCAUCGAAAACUGAUACCAGGUAAAAACCAGCUGUUCAUACUGUCAGAAAGACCAAUGAUUCUCAUGCCUCGAGAAAUCGAAACCGGGCGGCUCGCUGAAAGGUCUUGAUUGACAUAAAGCAAGAGUUGAAUCCAGUAAAAAAUAUUCGUAAUAUCCGCGGAAUCGGCCCAGCUUUCUAAUGGGACUAAACAAGACUAUCUCGAGAGGGAUGUUCCGUCAAAGAAAAUCGGGAGCAGCAUCAUCAAAAUCUCUAACAAAAAAUCUAGCGAUUCGGCCGGUUCUGAUGGCCUCAU
This is a long non-coding RNA of Toxorhynchites rutilus septentrionalis, 643 nucleotides long. RefSeq lists it as uncharacterized. The transcript is spliced from 3 exons. The record is from RefSeq and is a predicted model, not a curated record. Lineage: Eukaryota; Metazoa; Arthropoda; Insecta; Diptera; Culicidae.